AAUUUUGGACAAUGGGGGAAACCCUGAUCCAGCCAUCCCGCGUGUAUGAUGAAGGCCAUCGGGUUGUAAAGUACUCUUGGCAGAGAAGAAAAGGUAUCUCCUAAUACGAGAUACUGCUGACGGUCUCCGCAGAAUAAGCGCCGGCUAACUACGUGCCAGCUGCCGCGGUAAUACGUAGGGUGCAAGCGUUAAUCGGAAUUACUGGGCGUAAAGCGUGUGUAGGCGGUUCGGAAAGACAGAUGUGAAAGCCCAGGGCUCAACCUUGGAACUGCAUUUUUAACUGCCGAGCUAGAGUAUGUCAGAAGGUAGUAGAAUUCCACGUGUAGCAGUGAAAUGCGUAGAUAUGUGGAGGAAUACCGAUGGCGAAGGCAGCCCCCUGGGAUAAUACUGACGCUAAGACACGAAAGCGUGGGGAGCAAACAG
Molecule: ribosomal RNA, 423 nt
Filed under: uncultured bacterium
Lineage: Bacteria
Description: partial 16S ribosomal RNA
Rfam family: Bacterial small subunit ribosomal RNA
Source: RNAcentral